Triticum aestivum (bread wheat) is the source of this 450-nucleotide long non-coding RNA. RefSeq lists it as uncharacterized. The record is from RefSeq and is a predicted model, not a curated record. The transcript is spliced from 4 exons. NCBI's taxonomy places the organism in Eukaryota, Viridiplantae, Streptophyta, Magnoliopsida, Poales, Poaceae.
GAAAAAUAACAGGGAAAGAAGCCCUCGUUCCCCACUCGCCGCCGCAUCCCCGCUGAGCUCCACGCGCGGCAAUUCCUCGCCGCCGCCGCCGCCUCCGCCUCCGCCUCCGCCUCCGCCGGUGGGCUUCCUCACCACCGGCGAACUCUCCUAUCCCUCGAAUUCGUCGCCGAUCCGGUCCUGUCCUGCUGCGCAAGUCCGGGCUUACCAAGCUGCUUCUCAUCACCUAAGCCGUCCUCAACAGUGCCUCCCCGCCCCCGUUCUGCCGCACCCAGCAAGCUCUCCUCUCAAUGGCACAACCAAGUGGCAGUGAAUCCAGUGGUAGGGGAAAAGACAAUGAUGACUUAACUCCUAUCCCCUUCACUCUUCAUAGAGAUGACAUCGAGACCGACGCCGCUGCUACCCAGUACGACUACGGUGUUGACGACCCCUCUCUCUUGCUAGAGCAACCAG